UUCCUUCGAUUCUUUGCUUCCUUAAUUACCCAUAUAGAUACUGAGCCGCAAAUUCGGCAUUUCCCAUUUUCCCUAUUGUCCAAUCUUCAAAUAAUCUAAACCUAACUACCACAGUACCAACUGCACGAACGAAACCGGAAGAAAAAUGGUAUCGGAAUAGUAGUACUAACACAAGACGUCCACUCUCCAGAGGUUAAAGAGGAAGAAGGAGAAGAAACACAGAGCAGUAGUAUAUAGUACUAACACAAGACGUCCCCUCUCCAGGAUUCCCCUUUUUCUUUUCUUCAACCAUGUUAACGGCGAAGCCUUCAUAAUUGCGUGUAUUUGU
RNAcentral lists this long non-coding RNA (328 nucleotides) under Panax ginseng (ginseng). Its description in RNAcentral is "long non-coding RNA (PGIN_LNC006883)". Lineage: Eukaryota; Viridiplantae; Streptophyta; Magnoliopsida; Apiales; Araliaceae. The record is from RNAcentral.